Molecule: ribosomal RNA, 428 nt
Filed under: uncultured delta proteobacterium
Lineage: Bacteria; Deltaproteobacteria
Description: bacterial SSU rRNA
Rfam family: Bacterial small subunit ribosomal RNA
Source: RNAcentral
CAGGCCUAACACAUGCAAGUCGAACGAGAAAGUUCCUUCGGGAGCGAUUAAAGUGGCGCACGGGUGAGUAACGCGUAGACAAUCUGCCCUUCAGUCUUGGGACAACUUUUCGAAAGGAGAGCUAAUACCGGAUAACAAUGUUUAACAUAAGUUAAGUAUUUGAAAGCUUUAUGUGCUGAAGGAGGGGUCUGCGUCCCAUUAGCUAGUUGGUAAGGUAAAGGCUUACCAAGGCAACGAUGGGUAGCGGGUUUGAGAGGACGAUCCGCCACACUGGAACUGAGACACGGUCCAGACUCCUACGGGAGGCAGCAGUGGGGAAUAUUGCACAAUGGAGGAAACUCUGAUGCAGCAAUGUCGCGUGAGUGAAGAAGGCCCUUGGGUCGUAAAGCUCUUUUAUGGGGGAAGAUGAUGACGGUACCUCCAAGAAC